CGGUUGAGCUGUCGUCUCCAAAAAAAAAAGCACAGUUUAUUGCCAUGGAAGAAAACUCCAUGGUCGCAACAGAGAUCAACAGCUUAAGCAAACAUUUCACAGAAUUUUGAGCAGAGACCGUCAAAAACAAUACCGGCACCGCUGCUACUGCUCGGAGAUACUGGAGAAAACAUCACCAGAACUGUAAUUUCUAACAAUGGGGUGGGGAAUAGCGAUAUACGAAGGGAUAGUGAUGGUCGGUUCGCUAUGUUUAUUAGGUUGGACCGGUCUCUGGUUCUUGAAUCGGAGAUUGUAUAAAGAGUACGAAGAGAAACGAGUGCUGGUUCAAAUCAUAUUCAGUGUCGUUUUUUCCUUCUCCUGUAAUCUUCUUCAGCUUGUUCUCUUCGAGAUCAUUCCCAUUCUAUCCAAAGAGUCAAGAUGGAUAAACUGGAAAAUUGAUCUGUUCUGUUUGAUUGUAGUAUUGGUUUUUAUGCUGCCUUACUAUCAUUGCUACUUGAUGCUAUGUAACAAUGGUGUAAGGAAGGAACGGGCUGCACUCGGAGCAAUCUUAUUCUUGUUGGCCUUUCUUUAUGCUUUUUGGCGAAUGGGCAUUCACUUUCCUAUGCCUUCUCCUGAUAAAGGUUUCUUCACCAUACCUCAGCUGGUGAGUCGAAUUGGGGUCAUUGGUGUUACUGUCAUGGCUGUCUUAUCUGGUUUUGGAGCUGUGAAUUUACCAUAUAGCUAUUUGUCCCUAUUUAUCAGAGAAAUUGAAGAAUCAGAAGUUAAGGGUUUGGAAAGACAAUUAAUGCAAUCAAUUGAGACUUGUACUGCAAAGAAGAAAAAAAUUAUUCUUUCUCAAAUGGAGAUGGAGCGAAUUCAAGGAUCGGAGGAGACACUGAAAGCUAGAUCAUUCUUUAAGCGGAUUGUUGGAACAGUUGUACGAUCAGUUCAAGAUGACCAAAAGGAGCAAGAUAUUAAAAACUUGGAAGCAGAGGUUCAAGCUUUAGAAGAGCUCUCAAAGCAGCUUUUCUUGGAAAUAUAUGAACUUCGUCAAGCUAAGGAGGCAGCUGCUUAUUCACGAACCUGGAGGGGCCACAUGCAGAAUCUACUUGGCUAUGCAUGCUCUAUCUAUUGUGUAUACAAAAUGCUUAAGUCUUUGCAAAGUGUUAUCUUCAAGGAGGCUGGUUCAGUUGAUCCUGUAACAAGAACUAUUAGCAUAUUCUUACAGUUUUUUGAUAUAGGAAUUGAUGCAGCAUUACUGUCACAGUACAUCUCCCUGUUGUUCAUUGGAAUAUUGGUCGUCAUAUCAGUUCGAGGAUUCUUAACAAAUCUGAUGAAGUUUUUCUUUGCAGUUUCCAGAGUAGGGAGUGGAUCUUCAAGUAAUGUUGUGCUUUUUCUGUCUGAAAUUAUGGGAAUGUAUUUUCUAUCUUCCAUUCUGUUGAUCAGGAAAAGCCUAGCAAAUGAAUACAGGCUGAUUAUAACGGAUGUAUUGGGUGGAGAUAUUCAGUUUGACUUCUAUCACCGAUGGUUUGAUGCCAUUUUUGUAGCAAGUGCUUUCCUUUCGCUGCUUUUGCUUUCUGCACAUUAUACAUCUCGCCAGUCUGAUAAACACCCGAUUGAUUGAAAAUACGGUAUUGCAAAUACUUGUACAAUGUACUACCAUUUCAAGGCCAACGAGUCCAUCAGGUGUUUUCUCAUUGUCAGCUCACGGUAGACAACUUUGCGGGUUAAAGUAUAAUAUGUCAUAGCGCCGCUGAUUGUUAAUUUUAGACAGCUAAUAUUGGUGACUUCAACUAGAGAGUGUAGCUUGACUCAACAUUAAAUGUGAUGUGACAAUCUCAACAUACUGAAUUAAAAUCAUUCAAAUAGGGAAGUUUAAUUAUAAAUUCGGGUAUAAAAAAUGCGGGAUUAGGAUGGUAGCUGAUCGAGUAGUCUUCUUUCUCGUUAUCUGUAAUUCUGUAUGAUGCUUUAUAUUUGCUACUGAUAAUCGCUUUUCUGUUCUUCAA
RNA transcript from Mercurialis annua (annual mercury), 1985 nucleotides. It is a transcript of the gene named GPCR-type G protein 1, with no coding region annotated. The record is from RefSeq and is a predicted model, not a curated record. The transcript is spliced from 15 exons. NCBI's taxonomy places the organism in Eukaryota, Viridiplantae, Streptophyta, Magnoliopsida, Malpighiales, Euphorbiaceae.